Molecule: long non-coding RNA, 4080 nt
Filed under: Zea mays
Lineage: Eukaryota; Viridiplantae; Streptophyta; Magnoliopsida; Poales; Poaceae
Description: long non-coding RNA (ZMAY_LNC002060)
Source: RNAcentral
AGGAGGAGCAACUCUCCAUAGCGGCACCAGAUCUCCUCCACGCUGGAUCUUGAUAGCAGCAUCAACGCGUCGCGUACUUCGAGCAGCUCUCCACGCCGGCGAGGCAGCAACACCUCUCCUCUAGGCUAGACACUCAGCAGCACUCCUUCAGGCAAGUAGUAGAACUUUCUCCUCUCCUCUUUAUGUGUGUUGGCUACUAAUAUGGGGUGGAUUGUAUAUGUUGGAUAAUAUGUGGUGGAUUGUGUAUCAAAUUUGGUGGACGCUUUGUUUUUGUAAAGCCCUAAAAUUUGUAAAAUAUAAAAAUGAUAAAAUAAAUAAAUACACUUAUAAAAGUGUGUUGGGGAUCAUGUAACCUUUAGAGGUUAUCUAGAUUUCUUCUCUUUGUGCAUACUCAAUUAAUGGCAUUAAACUAUUCAACUAACAAAUAAGUGGAUAAAGAGAUAUGCAUCUGCUGAAGUUUUUGUAUUUUAACAAUAGUGUUUAAAUUUGUGAGACAAAUUUGACUUCGAAAAAUUAGAAUUUGAAAAUAUAAGGAGAAAGAAAAUCCUAUGUAAAUAACAAUAAAAUAUAUAAAUAAAUAUUAUUUGCGCUAGGAUUUGAAUUUGCACAAUUGGCCAAAGUAUGAAACCAACCAUCAAAAUUGAAUUCAAGUUGAAAUCAAAAUUUAGAAAAAGAAAAAAUGGAAAUAAAACAGAAUAUAUAUAAAAAGGGAUAACUUGCUCUCGGACUGGACUUCCCCAUUCUAGCCCAGCUCCGGCAUCCCGCGCUCGGCCCAGAUAUGUUUUCCACCUCGUGUGGCCCACUCAGAGCUCUUUUUCUUUUGUUCUGUCACGCUGACGUGUGGGGCCAGGCAAUCAGUGAUUGAGGCCGUGCACACACGUGAAAUGUUCUCCUCGCUGACGUGUGGGUCCAUGGCAUCAUGGCGUCUUCAACCUCCCAGCACCGAAGCUACCGUGUGGAUCUCACGGGUGUGGCGCGAACUCCCCCUCUUCUUCGGGACGCUCGUGGAGGAUAUCGUUGAUGAGACCUCCUUCCGCAUGCUGGCGCCUAGUCUCGCUCGGAUGCUUUCCCCACCGGAUAAAGUUAUCCCCUCUCCGCAUUUCGCACUCGGCUAACAAACUCCGACCGCCGCGCAACAGCCUGUGGAUCCUGGGACUGCCCGCCUGCUUCCCCUCGGGCCCCUCGGGUAUAAGUACCGCAGCCUCGCGCCCUUGCUCUGCUCUGCUCUCCCUUCGACUCUCAUCCAUCUCGCCCAAACACCUCAAAACUGUGUGUGAGGGGGAGGAAUUCUUGCGGCAGCAACUGGCGGAUCGCACGCGAUUCUCUGCCAUCAUCGAGAAUCGAAGCGCCAGACCGAGCUGGGUGUUCGACGUCUCUCGCUACGGGUGUUGAUGGACUCCUCGGACAAGGCUAUCAACCAGGGUCGUGGGAAUUCGUCGCCGUUGUCCGAUUUGCCGCCGUGGCCGCGUCUCACCGUGCGCAGGGAAUCCCACUUCUCCGAUCUCCAUGAGAUUUACUUCUCUAGAUUCGCUAUAUCCUCCUAUUCGAGUUGCGCUAGUCGGGCAGUGAGUGAAGGCCUCGGGUCGCGGGAUCGCUGUCGCCGACCAUGGCGUCCGCUGUGGGGUUUGGCGGUGAGGCCGUCUGGUCGGCCAGGCGUUAGGGGCAAGGCCGUUCGGCCGUCUGAUCUUAAUGGACGGACAUGAUGGGUUGCGGCGUGCGGAUUCAGGCAGGUGAUUUGGCGCCGUUGUGAUCCGAUCGGAUGGAUAUGAUGGAUUCCGAGUUAUUUUAAAUCACGACCGUAGAUGUCGGAUCUAAUGGCUGUGGAUCGCAUAUCGAUUCACGCAAAACUAAUUCUAAUCAGGACCGUCCAUAUCCAAUCGCACGACCUGGAUUACAUGAUACUGCUUCGGCUCCGUAGCUUUACAAAAGAACCCCUGGCAAAUGUAAUAAUCAACCUGUCGUCCACCAUAAGAUAAGUCUGAGUCUGGUAGAUUUUUGCAAGUUAACCCCCAGACUCUCUGUAUAUUAUGCGCCCAGUCCAGGAAACAAGUAAAUCAGGGGAAAAUGAAAUAGAAAUUUAUUUUUGAUGUAAAAAUAAUUAUUAGAACUUGUUUAGUUCCUAGAAAAUUCAUACUUAGUCCAAAUUAAUCUAUUCCAGUUCCUAUAAUUUUGUAAUAAUGUUGUUUAUCAUAUAGUGUCUCUGUUUUGACAUGAAAACCAUAUUAAAGUUGAUUUCAUAAUUAAUCCUGUAUCAAAUAUAUAAAACUUUUGGAAAUUCAUAACUCUGUUUUAAUUCCGAUUUGACUCAUUCCAGUUGCGUUAGUCUCGUAUAAAUAUUUACUACGCAGUAACAACAUUGAUUAUACCCUGUCUCAUACUUUUAUAAUUAGAUAUUUAUUUAUCCUAUGUGAAUUGGAUUAAUCUAGGUCUAUUGGAUUAACUUAUGAUCUUAUGGUUAUAAUUUAACUAGAUGAUCUUUAGUCAAAUAAUGACUUAGAUUAAAGUUAGGAUAAUUAUUCAUAGAAUAUUCUCUCAUAUGGUGUAUUCUAACCAAUUUAUAAUAUAGUUUAAUAUUUUAAUCACAUAGAUCUUCCAUAGAUCAUAACUCCCUAACCAUGACUCCGAUUUUAGUAUUUCUCGAUCCCACGAUCUCGUAGCAACGCGUAGAUUAUUAUUAUGCAGUAUGUGCUUAUGUUUGGUGUGAUGUUAAUUUUGUCUAUACCAUGUCUGUUUGUAUUGCUACGACUAGCAGUGAGGUCGCGAGUCACCUGAACAUCAUCCUGGUGCCUAGAAUCUCAAGUCUUAGGCAAGUUGUGCCCUUGAACACUUCUAUUACCUAAUAAUGUUCUUUAUUAUCACUUAUCAAUGCAUAUGUUUAAUUUUGAUAGGACCCAAUAGGUCACCCUAGUCUGUUUAUCCUUUUACCUUGUUACCCCUGAAUCAUUUGGGUAGUUUGCUAUUGCUUUAUUGUUUUUGGGAUAAUAUUUCAUUAUAUCCAUGUUCCAAUUAUUUUAUUAUUUUAUUUAUGUUCAUGUCAAGAUCAUCAUUAUCUUUGAUUGGAACAUGGAGCUUAACUUGAGAAACACGUGCAACCACAAGGGUGGAAUUUGACGCCCUUGGCUGACUAAUUAGGAAAGCUAGUGGAAGACUACCUUACCCAAAAGGGGAAAGGGUAGUAGGGGAGUUGCAUGCAGGGAGGAUCUCGGGUUGAUUUUGCUGCGAUGGCGGUCAGACGAGGAAUUCUUGCAAGUGCUCUUCCCAUAAACUGUAGCGGGUUUUUGGAAGCUAGUGGAACUUUGUAAAGACCUCGUAGUGGAUCCCUAGCCAUUCACCUCGGCAGUGUCUAAGGGUCUAGCUAACCCUGGCGACAUGGGAUACACGACUUGUGGUAAAAGGUACAACCUCUGCAGAGUGUAAAACUGGUAUACUAGCCAAGCUCACGGUCAAGAGCAGCUCAGGACUCUCGCAUGAUUAAACUAUGAAACUAAAUUCAAUUUGUCAUUUUCAUUGCAUGGGACUUAUUAUUAAUUUUGUUCUAUUAUUAUUCUGGUAUGGUAUUUACUUAUACCUAGUAAUCGCUAAUAAAAUUUUGACCAACUUUAAAAGCAAUGCUCAGCGUCAACCAUCCUCUUUGGUAAGCCUUACACUUCAUGAGCUCCCACCUUUGGCGAGUUCAUGCACAUUAUUCCCCAUAACUUGUUGAGCUAUGAACGUAUGUGAGCUCACUCUUGCUGUCUCACACCCCCCACAGGUCAAGGACAGGUACCACAGGAUGAGGCGCAUGGAGGAUGUUGCGAUGUGUUCGUGAGAGAUCUAGGUUAUCGUCUCCCAGUCAACUUUGGGUUGUUGGAUCGUUGUCUCCUUAUCAUAUAAUUAUUUAUUUAUUUUGUACAUAACUCCUAUUGUAUAAUAAAGUUAUGACAUUCGUUUCUGUACCACUAUUCAUCAUAUGUGUGAGACUUAGUCUCAGCACACCUGAUGUUUAUGUUCGCGUCCGGGUCUCUAAAACCCGGGUGUGAUAGUUUUGCAUCAUAUGUUGAAUUGGUUGAGUUCUUAUCGCCUCAUUGUUUUAUGAAAUAG